RNAcentral lists this ribosomal RNA (258 nucleotides) under uncultured bacterium. RNAcentral describes it as "partial 16S ribosomal RNA". It matches the Rfam family "Bacterial small subunit ribosomal RNA", at positions 57 to 305 of the family's 1533-position model. The record is from RNAcentral.
GCAAGUAGAACGCUGAAGAGAGGAGCUUGCUCUUCUUGGAUGAGUUGCGAACGGGUGAGUAACGCGUAGGUAACCUGCCUGGUAGCGGGGGAUAACUAUUGGAAACGAUAGCUAAUACCGCAUGAAAUGGAUUAUCGCAUGAUAAUCGAUUGAAAGGUGCAAAUGCAUCACUACCAGAUGGACCUGCGUUGUAUUAGCUAGUUGGUGAGGUAACGGCUCACCAAGGCAACGAUACAUAGCCGACCUGAGAGGGUGAUC